CAGAAAGAGGCUCCCACAGUGCAGCGGUGGGCUGAAGGGCUCCUCAAGUGCCACCAAAGUGGGAGCCCAGGCAGAGGAGGUGCCAAGAGCAAGUGAGGGCUGUGAGGACUGCCAGCAUGCUGUCGCCUCUCAAUACUGCAUUGUAUAGUUACAUUUGAAGUGAACAGAUGACUAAAAUUCCAGGGCUCGAAAGCACUUCAAACACAAGAGUAACCCAAGGGCCAGACCUAGUUCAAGGAGAAGAAAAACGGACUUUACCUCUUGAUGAGAGGAGCCUCAAAGUCACAUUGCAAAGGAGCAUCCAUACAGAGAUACGAAG
This is a long non-coding RNA of Symphalangus syndactylus (siamang), 319 nucleotides long. RefSeq lists it as uncharacterized. NCBI's taxonomy places the organism in Eukaryota, Metazoa, Chordata, Mammalia, Primates, Hylobatidae. The record is from RefSeq and is a predicted model, not a curated record.